This 469-nucleotide ribosomal RNA is filed under the name uncultured soil bacterium. Its description in RNAcentral is "bacterial SSU rRNA". It matches the Rfam family "Bacterial small subunit ribosomal RNA", at positions 11 to 316 of the family's 1533-position model. The record is from RNAcentral.
GUUUGAUCCUGGCUCAGAACGAACGCUGGCGGCGCGCCUAAUACAUGCAAGUCGAACGAGAAUGUGUAGCAAUACACAUGUACAGUGGNCGAACGGGUGAGGAAUACAUGGGUAACCUACCCUCGAGUGGGGAAUAACCAGCCGAAAGGUUGGCUAAUACCGCGUACGCUUCCGAGACUGCGGUUUCGGAAGGAAAGCGAUACCUUUGGUAUCGCCCUCUUGUAUGAAGUCAUCGACUUUUGUCUUGGUCAUUGUGCAACGUGUGAACCCUGGACAUACAGGCCAUGAUCAAUUUGACGCAUGCCCAGCCUUACCCGAUAUUUCACCGGCGUUCCGCUAAAGUGGCCAAUUAAAUGCUGGGAACAUCUGCUCAUGGUUGCCCUCCCCGAACACACCUAUCCAUAUUCCACCGCCACCUUGGCGAAACUGUGAGGAGAGACGUGUCUCUCAAGAUUUUGCGUGGCCCUGU